RNAcentral lists this ribosomal RNA (911 nucleotides) under Aristastoma oeconomicum. Its description in RNAcentral is "LSU rRNA". It matches the Rfam family "Eukaryotic large subunit ribosomal RNA", at positions 38 to 966 of the family's 3401-position model. Lineage: Eukaryota; Fungi; Ascomycota. The record is from RNAcentral.
GCAUAUCAAUAAGCGGAGGAAAAGAAACCAACAGGGAUUGCCCUAGUAACGGCGAAGUGAAGCGGCAACAGCUCAAAUUUGAAAUCUGGCUCUUUUAGAGUCCGAGUUGUAAUUUGCAGAGAGCGCUUUGGCGUUGGCAGCGGUCCAAGUUCCUUGGAACAGGACGUCACAGAGGGUGAGAAUCCCGUACGUGGUCGCUAGCCUUCGCCGUGUAAAGCCUCUUCGACGAGUCGAGUUGUUUGGGAAUGCAGCUCUAAAUGGGAGGUAAAUUUCUUCUAAAGCUAAAUACUGGCCAGAGACCGAUAGCGCACAAGUAGAGUGAUCGAAAGAUGAAAAGCACUUUGGAAAGAGAGUCAAAUAGCACGUGAAAUUGUUGAAAGGGAAGCGCUUGCAGCCAGACUUGCCUGUAGUUGCUCAUCCGAACUUUUGUUCGGUGCACUCUUCUGCGGGCAGGCCAGCAUCAGUUUGGGCGGUUGUAGAAAGGUCUCUGUCACGUACCUCCUCUCGGGGGGGCCUUAUAGGGGAGACGAAAUGCAACCAGCCUGGACUGAGGUCCGCGCAUUUGCUAGGAUGCUGGCGUAAUGGCUGUAAGCGGCCCGUCUUGAAACACGGACCAAGGAGUCUAACAUCUAUGCGAGUGUUUGGGUGUCAAGCCCGAGCGCGUAAUGAAAGUGAACGGAGGUGGGAACCCUUAAGGGUGCACCAUCGACCGAUCCUGAUGUCUUCGGAUGGAUUUGAGUAGGAGCAUGGCUGUUGGGACCCGAAAGAUGGUGAACUAUGCUUGAAUAGGGUGAAGCCAGAGGAAACUCUGGUGGAGGCUCGCAGCGGUUCUGACGUGCAAAUCGAUCGUCAAAUUUGGGCAUAGGGGCGAAAGACUAAUCGAACUAUCUAGUAGCUGGUUCCUGCCGAAG